ACUUUUAAAGAUAAGUGCGUGUAGCGUAGCUGCCCACCUUUCUUUAACUUGACUCUUGUCAAUUCUACUCAACUAAACGAAAUUUUGUUACCACACAUUUUAUGUGGGUAACAUUUUGGUAAUUUCGUUUUUAUCAAGCUUGUCAACCAUUCUGAGUUAGGGGUCUGGCUAGCUGGGUGUGUUCCGUCACACCCAGUAGGUGUUUCAGCUAGUUCCGUCUAGUUGUUACGUGGAUCCUAGUUCCGUCUAGGUGAAACCUCACUCCCCUCAGUAUGGGAUCCAAGCAUUUUAAAAUCCUUG
The sequence is a regulatory RNA element, 300 nucleotides long. It matches the Rfam family "Alphacoronavirus 5'UTR". Rfam says of the family: The 5' UTR has been predicted to contain 3 conserved stem-loops: SL1, SL2 and SL4. The 3 terminal loops of SL5 contain a conserved sequence 5'-UUCCGU-3' and are thought to act as the packaging signal. The record is from Rfam.